GAGUAACGAAAACACGGUGAUAAGCAACGGUGUUGCUUGAUUAUCGGAAACUACAUCGGAGUGUUUGUUUUUAUGUAAAUGUGUCUCUCGUGUGAUUUGAGUCUCCACACGUGGUGAACACCUCGGUCCCGUCUCUGCUCCGUCAAUGAAAGAGUAAGUGAGCUCGGCUUGUAAUUACAGUAAUGAAUGAUUCUCCUCUACCUUUUCCGGCCGUGUUACAUGUCUUUCUGAUCCCUCCUCUCCCUUGUUCUCCUCUGUCUCCUCCUCUAAAGCCCCCUCACCUUCCUCUCCUCCCUCCUCCCCCAUUCUGCCUGGGAUCUUUUUCUGUUUUUGGUAAGGAGAUCCCCUGUUUAUGUGGAGGUGGCUGUCCCCGGGUGUUCUUUUUUUUUUUUUUUUUUUCUAAACCAUAUUUACUUUGAUCCUCCUACUUCUGUGUGUGCGUGCAUGUUCAUGUUCAUGUGGAUCUACCAGGAGCAUCAGAGCAGAAGAAGAAACGCUAUACCGUCCUAACGUACACACAAACAUGUGGCUUUCUGUUAUAUGUGCAUGUACAUGUUUAUGUCUCGUACUGUUACGUGAGUACCAGAGCGGCUCCGGUGGAACGCCGCAGUCUCCGAUGGCUUUUUAAUUGAAAUGUCACUCGGAAAAAUCGACCUCCAUCUGCUCCUACUCUACUCCGUACUGUACAACAUCGUGAAACUCCAACAGUUUCGACCUGGACAAAACACUAGGAGCCUGGGGACCGUGAACGCUGCCAACGUCGACGUUUAGUGAACAUCAGCAACUUCGUGACGUCAGUGGACGCAGCCGACGGUCUCAAUGUCUUUGGAUCAGAGAGGAAAAGGACUAAAGAUCCGGACCGCCGCUCGACCUUUUGAAAACCCGUGUCUGUGAUUUUGGGCUGGACAACAUGUUAACUUCAGUUAGAGGAGUGGGAGACGGGCCCUGCUGGGGGGUUGAAGGUGUGGACGAAGCGUUCUGUUGAAUACAUUUACGUCCAUCCAUCCAGUUUCAUCCGCUUAGCCGUUACCGGGUCGCGGGGGCAGCAGUCUCUACCCAACUCACACUGCACUGUACCAACCCCCCUGAACCUUCCUGCGGGUGGUGAGUCCACUGGAAGGUACCAACCGCCCUCACUGGGAUUCGAACUUCACCCAGGAGGUGAGGGUUCAACACCAGUGACCACUGAGACAUUGACUCUGGGCCAAAGCACCACAAAUAAAUUUACUGUUUAAUAUUUUUUAUUAGUGGGAAAAGUUUGUAAUUUUAUUGUAUGUUUUAAGUGAGAAUCUGCUUUUAGGAAUCACAGUGUUUUAUUUCAUCACAGGGGGAAAUGAGGGCUGUAAAAAUGUCUGAUCAGAUAAAGCACAGCAUAUCUGUGCUGUUGUCACAGGUGCUCAUGCUCAAAAGUUGGUUUUUUUUUUGUGGUAUUUUGUGAAAGACAUUAAGAGUAGGUAGACGUCUGUGUCUCACACCUUUUUUUCUUUUAUUUGUGACUAAUCCAAAUGAUACAAAACAAAACUGUAAAAUAUAAAACUAUAAAAGUGAAUGUACCCUCACAGAGUUGGUGAAUGUGAGUCAUUACCGCGUCUCUGUGACGUCGGUUUGUACGACUUGUCGAGAGUUUCUUAUCAAUGCGUGUUAUUAUGCCUCACGUUGAAGCUAACACCGGCCCACAUCAACACCACAGUUUCAUCACACUAAUCUGUAACACAGAUCACCAGAGAAUUCGCCUCUGCACAUUUUUCUAGUUCAACAGAAAAUACACACCAUCUAUCAGGGAUGGAAUAAAUUACAGACAUUCACACAAAUAAAAC
This is a long non-coding RNA of Cynoglossus semilaevis (tongue sole), 1817 nucleotides long. RefSeq lists it as uncharacterized. The transcript has 2 exons. NCBI's taxonomy places the organism in Eukaryota, Metazoa, Chordata, Actinopteri, Pleuronectiformes, Cynoglossidae. The record is from RefSeq and is a predicted model, not a curated record.